CAAUAGCGUAUAUUAAAGUUGUUGCAGUUAAAAAGCUCGUAGUUGGAUUUCUGGUGGGAGCGAUCGGUCUGGCGCUUAGCGCGAGUACUUGCAUCGUCUCCGGCCAUCCUUGGGGAGAGUCUGUCUGGCAUUAGGUUGUCGGGCAGAGGAUCCUCAUCGUUUACUGUGAAAAAAUUAGAGUGUUCAAAGCAGGCUUAUGCCGUUGAAUAUAUUAGCAUGGAAUAAUAAGAUAGGACUUUGGUACUAUUAUGUUGGUUUGCGCACCAAAGUAAUGAUUAAUAGGGACAGUUGGGGGUAUUCGUAUUCCGUUGUCAGAGGUGAAAUUCUUGGAUUUACGAAAGACGAACUACUGCGAAAGCAUUUGCCAAGAAUGUUUUCAUUAA
RNAcentral lists this ribosomal RNA (383 nucleotides) under uncultured eukaryote. RNAcentral describes it as "partial 18S ribosomal RNA". It matches the Rfam family "Eukaryotic small subunit ribosomal RNA", at positions 592 to 976 of the family's 1831-position model. The record is from RNAcentral.